GCCCCUUUGGUGUAGUUCGGUCAAUCAUACCAGGCUUUCAACCUGGCGACUCGGGUUCAAAUCCCGGAAGGGGCG
Molecule: transfer RNA, 75 nt
Filed under: Candidatus Woesearchaeota archaeon
Lineage: Archaea; Nanobdellati; Candidatus Woesearchaeota
Also listed under: 1 other name
Description: tRNA-Glu
Rfam family: tRNA
About the family: Transfer RNA (tRNA) molecules are approximately 80 nucleotides in length. Their secondary structure includes four short double-helical elements and three loops (D, anti-codon, and T loops). Further hydrogen bonds mediate the characteristic L-shaped molecular structure. tRNAs have two regions of fundamental functional importance: the anti-codon, which is responsible for specific mRNA codon recognition, and the 3' end, to which the tRNAs corresponding amino acid is attached (by aminoacyl-tRNA synthetases). tRNAs cope with the degeneracy of the genetic code in two manners: having more than one tRNA (with a specific anti-codon) for a particular amino acid; and 'wobble' base-pairing, i.e. permitting non-standard base-pairing at the 3rd anti-codon position.
Source: RNAcentral